Molecule: ribosomal RNA, 2681 nt
Filed under: Poteriospumella lacustris
Lineage: Eukaryota; Chrysophyceae; Chromulinales; Dinobryaceae
Description: bacterial LSU rRNA
Rfam family: Bacterial large subunit ribosomal RNA
Source: RNAcentral
AAUGUAAUAAAGGGAUACCUAGGUAUCAAAAAAUAUAGAGUUGUGAAUUGCAAUAAUAAAGUAAGAGAGCAAUAGCUCGAUGAAGACUUUGUUACUCAUAAGAGAAAUCUAAUAAGACUUAAGACUUAACAAACAAGGUGAAGUAAAACAUUAUAGUAACCUUUUGUAAAAAUCAACCGAGAGUUUGUCAGUAGCGGUGAGCGAAAGCAAAUAAGUUUUGUAGUAUUAUCAAACGUCACUUGAAUCAUCCAUAGAAGGUCUGAGUCCUGUAAACAUACGUUAAUAAAUACUACGUUAAUUUUAUGACGAAUUAUGCUAAAUUUGUCAUUUUUAAGAGGAAUUUCCCUCAAACUAAAAAUUUUUGAUAACCGAUAGUAAACAAGUACCGUGAGGGAAAGGUGAAAAAGAACUUUUAUAAGGUUUAAAAGAACUUGAAAUUUAUUACAUAUUAUCUGUUGGAGCUGAGAAUUUAAUUCUUGGUGACAGCGUACCUUUUGCAUAAUGGACCAAUAAGUUUACUUUUGUAGCGAAUUUAAUAACAAGAUAAAAAUAACCUAAGUGUUAAAACGCGCUUUUAGUUACAAUAGUAAGAUCCGAAGCUGAGUGAUCUAACCAUGAACAGGCUGAAAUUUGUCACUAGCAAUAGUGCUUGGAGGGCCGAACCCGUGUCUGUAGAAAAAGAUUGGGAUGAUUUGUGGUUAGGGGUGAAAGGCUAAUCAAACUCAGUUAUAGCCGAUUUUCUGCGAAAUAUAUUUAAGUAUAGCCUACAAAUAAGAAAGUUAAGGGGUAGAGCUCUUUUGUAAGGAGGGGGGCAUUAGCCUUACUGAGUUAUGAAAAACUACGAAUACUAACUCUUUUUUUUGUGGAGUCAGAUAGUGAGCGCUAAGGUUCACUAUCGAGAGGGAAACAGCCCAGAUUAAAAAAUAAGGUCUUUAAAUAUGAUUUAAGUGAUAAGAGUGUUAAAAAGUGUUCACAAUUAUAAAGUGGGCUCGGAAGCAGCCAUCUUUUGAAGAAAGCGUAACAGCUCAUUAAUCUAACUUUUUUGCCUCGAAGAUUUAUAGAGACUAAAAUCAUUACCGAAUUUUUAAAAAGUAAUUUAUAUUACUUUGGUAGCAGAACGAUCAAUAUUAAUAAAGUUAACUUGAAAAAGUUAAUUGCUAAAUUUGAUGCGAGCAUAUUGGUAUUAGUAGCUAAAACAAUGUUUAAUCAUUGUCGCCGGAAAUCCAAGGUAUACAAGAACAUGCUAAACAUACUUGUUAAUAUUAAAACGAUCCCUAAGGAAAAUUACAAAAGUAUAAUCUGAUGGGUUUUGUGUGAGUUGUGACAGAGUCUGUAAAUUCAGAAUGCGAUCGUAGUGACCCUGAAGUCAUGAGGACAAACGGAGUGUUCUGGCUGGACUCUCUGGAAAUAGCACUCACUUCUUUGAUAGACAAUCGUACCCUAAACCGACACAGGUGGAUAAGUAGAACAUACUAAGGCGAUCAAGAAAACUAUAUUGAAGGAACUCGGCAAAUUAACUCUGUAACUUCGGGAGAAGGAGUGACAUCUUGGUUAACGCCAAGAAUGUUGGCACUAAAGAAGAAGAAACGACUGUUUAACAAAAACACAAGUCUCUGCAAAUUCGAAAGAAGAAGUAUAGAGACUGACACCUGCCCGGUGCUGUAAGGUAAUGUGGAGAUGUAUAUGCAUCGAAAUUAAGCCCCAGCAAACGGCGGCUGUAACUCUGACGGUCCAAAGGUAGCGAAAUUCCUUGUCGGGUAAGUUCCGACCCGCACGAAUGGCGUAAUGACUUGGAAGCUGUCUCAAGGAGAGACUCGGUGAAAUAGAAAUGUCUGUGAAGAUGCGGACUACUUGCGCCUGGACAGUAAGACCCUAUGAAGCUUUACUGCAUCUUGAAAUUGGCUUUUGAUUUUUGUUGCGCAGAAUAGGUGGGAGACUAUGAAAUUUUUCUUCUGGGAAAGAUGGAGUCAUCAAUGAGAUACCACUCUACACAAAUUGAAAUCCUAACUUUAAUCCGUGAGCCGGAUAAAGAACAGUUUCUGGUGGGCAGUUUGACUGGGGCGGUCGCCUCCUAAAAAGUAACGGAGGCGUACAAAGGCGAGCUCAGGUUUAACAGACCGAAGAGUGUAAUGGCAAAAGCUCGCUUGACUGUAAGAUUGACAAAUCGAACAGGGAUGAAAGUCGGUCAUAGUGAUCCGGUGAUUUAACGUAAGAUAAUCAUCGCUCAACGAAUAAAAGGUACGCCGGGGAUAACAGGCUGAUGGUUUCCGAGAGUCCAUAUUGACGAGACCGUUUGGCACCUCGAUGUCGGCUCAUCACAUCCUGGAAUUGAAGACGAUUUCAAGGGUUCGGCUGUUCGCCGAUUAAAGUGGUACGUGAGCUGGGUUCAGAACGUCGUGAGACAGUUCGGUCCCUAUCUGCCGCAAGUGGGAAAACUGAGAGGAGUAAACCCUAGUACGAGAGGACCGGGUUAAGUAAACCUAUGGUGAAUUGAUUAUUACAUCCGUAGUACCGUCAAGUAGCUAAGUUUAUAAAAGAUAAUUGCUGAAAGCAUAUAAGCAAGAAACUUCCCUUAAAACAUGUUUUCAUAAUUAAGUAGAAGAUUACUACUUUGAUAGGCUUUAAAUGCAAGAGAUCUCAAGUCUCUUAGUUGAAAAGUACUAAAAUUUUAACUAAUUUAU